GCCUGCCACUGAGGAGGAGAGAGUAACAGAUUAGCUGCUUGAGGGCCUGUCUCCCAUUCCCACACUCUCACUUCUGCUCCAGCAGCUCACUGGCAUAGAGCUUAAACCAGGGCUUCUCCACUUGUAGUACAAUGGAUGUCUUUGCAGUUUUGUAUUGUGCUUUUGAUGCAGAGGAAACCUGUACCAUUUAAACUGAUCAGACAUCAUUGUAAGGAGGGGGCUCUGGGCAGGCAUAGUGGAGGAGGAGACCCUUAUAUUUGAUUUUCUAAAACAUAGAAAUCAGAAGGUGAGAGGAAAAACAAAGAGCUAGUGUGGGUGUUGUUCCAAGGUGCCAGAAUAUUCCUUCUAGAGCAGCACAGUUGAUUUCCCCACUAAUAGGUGCUAAGAGGGCAUAGGUCUUCCUUUGCUUUGUUUCUACCACACCACCUUAGACGCCAUUUUCUAUACAUGUUAGAGAUCAACAAUUUGACAUAGAAGGAGAGGACACGGGAUGUGGGAGUAAGAAAAAAAAACAGCUUGCAAUAUACUAACUGUAUUUUAACUCCUUUUAUUAUUUUUUUUUAAAGGAAGAAAGACACCAGUGUACUUACAGCAGUACUGAGUUGGAUGCUGGAGUGUGGGGCUAGAGAGGUCACAGAAGUGAUAGAAAUCUGCUGGUGGAGACAGGAGUGACUUGAAGAACUCAGACCAAAUGCAGGACGUCCACUACCAUCUCCAGCUAACCACAGGCCAGACCAUGAAGAUACUGGUCUUCUCAGUGGUUCUUUCCAUGCUGGGUUCUUGAGCAGAAAAAAAAUGUAGGUCAGACCUGAAUCCUAUGGGAUCUUGGAGUCUGGCCAUUGCCCUUGCCAAAGGCCUGGGUUACCCCAGCCAAUUUUGGGGCAAAGGACAAAAGACCAGCUUAUGAACAUUGGAAGCAGGAAAACAAACCAUCAGACCAAGCUAGAUGAUGGAUCUAAUGUCACAUCCUGCAGAGAGUCACCCAUGGCUUCUCCAGGUGGAGAUCAGUGCAUCAACUCAAAAGGACUUUAUGCUGGAUGAAUGCAGCAUCUCACUCUUCGAGAACUUAACACGUAACCAAGAGGAUAUAUUCAUGUACCUAUCUGCCCUCCAAAGGACCCCUGGAAGGCAGGGGUGAAGUUCACAUCUUUAUAUGCCUUUUCACCAUUGCCAAGCUCUACAGUGGAAGGCAACCUUUUGUGUUUCAAUAAUAAAAUGAAAAAACAAAGCCAGAUGUCCUCCUAGAUUCCAGCAUUGCCCACCUUGUGAGAAGAAAAACAAUAUUUAUCUUAUUAAUUCGUCUGAAGAUCUGGCUUCAAGAGUCCUUAGGUUACCCAGUUGCUAUGGAAAUGCCAGAUGUGACACCGACUGCCACCUCAGCACAGUGAGAAACACCCAGUCACAGACAGCCUCACACAGCUAAUCUAUGUGCAUCUUCAUGGAAAACGUCCUAGUUUAUCUGUUCAUUGUCUCAAAACAAUCGGAACAUUAAAAGGGACAAGAAAGGUGGGCAGACGAACCCAAGCCCCCUGAACUGUGACAUUUAUUAUCCUGGUAAUUAUUUUAUUCCUACCCUGCUUCUCUCCCUAUAAUUUAACUGGUAUAAGAUAAAUGUACCUAUUCCCUCUAACUGCUUCUAAAUUUACUCGACUGCUACUAGAGAGAAGGACUUAACCUCACAAUAAUUGAAUUUAAAUAACAUCCAAUUCUGUGAAGUUGAACAUGAUCUGCAUAGUAAACAAACCACAGGGUUUGAGGGCUGGCAGGAAGAAAGAAGGUCACACUUAAUGUGCGUGAUUGUAUCCGUACUUCUAAUGGCCCAGAUGUGUAAUCUAAUGUCUGUUUGUCUUUCUGUCUAACUCAUCAUUAACAUCGUUAUGGUUACCAAAGAGCCAAAAUUAAAGGCUCAACUGGCCUCGUUCCUCUGCCUGGCUCAAGAGAAAAACAUAAUUCAGCUAAGCCUUGAGGAACUAGAAUUGGGCUAUUUGCAUACAGUGGGCUGGGCCCAUGUCCAAGGUUCCAGGCUACUACACUUCUCAGGAAGUUUCAGGGAUGCCAGGUCACCAUGUUCUCUUUUUUUGUUCCAGAAACCAAGCCAAAUUAUAUGAGAGGUUAGAGAGAAAGGUGCAGACUUGUCCCCUUGAGUCAGUCCUCCAUGGUCCUCGCACACCAGCAGAGGAGAGUGCAGCCUCAACCCCGCAAACCCUUCAUGGUGCUCCCUGGAGAAACUGUGGUGAAAUUUUCCUAAAAUUAAUUUUCAUUCACUGUGAUUAAUGCAUCAUUCAGAGGGCUUAGGGGAUACGGCGGAGGCUGCAGGUGCAAACAAACUGGAGUCAUGUGUUGCUUUCUGACGCUUCAGAUCAGGGCACUAGGUACUUUAGGAUCGCACAAAGCACAGAAGCAAGACCUUUCCCCGAUGCAAUCCCAGCUUGCCCACUGUCUGGCUGGUGACUAUGAGUUUAAGUGAUCGCUACCUGAAUCCACCGUUUCUGAGAGACGAGGCUGCAUCAGAAUCACUUGGGAAGCGUGUUUGGUGUCUUUGUGCUGGCUGCAACCCAAAGACUCCAACUCCAUGAAGACCCACUUAAAGCAAAAUUGGCUCAGACCUACUUUGUAACGUGUUGGACCAGAUACUCAUUAACAAACCUUCUGCCUCCUACAUUACUUUGAGACUUUUAUGUACACAAAGAUAAAAAUAAGCACUGAGAAUUAAAAUUUAUUGAGGACUCAUUGUGUGCCAAUCCCUGUCACAAACUUUGAAUUCUGGGUUCAAGAACCAAUUCUCCCACUUGGCUGGGUGAGAGAUACUGGGCAAGUUGCUCUAAGCUCCCACCUCAUCGUCUAUAUCCAUAUUGUCCUACUAGUGUUUCUGCUGUGGUUGCACCCCCUCCUCUGUGCUGUGUGUAUG
This 2908-nucleotide small RNA is filed under the name Rattus norvegicus (Norway rat). RNAcentral describes it as "uncharacterized LOC102555358". The record is from RNAcentral. Lineage: Eukaryota; Metazoa; Chordata; Mammalia; Rodentia; Muridae.